Molecule: ribosomal RNA, 253 nt
Filed under: uncultured bacterium
Lineage: Bacteria
Description: partial 16S ribosomal RNA
Rfam family: Bacterial small subunit ribosomal RNA
Source: RNAcentral
UACGUAGGGGGCAAGCGUUGUCCGGAUUUAUUGGGCGUAAAGAGCGUGUAGGCGGCCUUACGGGUCAGCUGUGAAAACUCGAGGCUCAACCUCGAGACGUCGGUUGAAACCGUAAGGCUAGAGUCCGGAAGAGGAGAGUGGAAUUCCCGGUGUAGCGGUGAAAUGCGCAGAUAUCGGGAAGAACACCCGUGGCGAAGGCGGCUCUCUGGGACGGUACUGACGCUGAGACGCGAAAGCGUGGGGAGCGAACAGG